AGCAGCCGCGGUAAUUCCAGCUCCAAUAGCGUAUAUUAAAGUUGUUGCAGUUAAAAAGCUCGUAGUUGAAUUUCGGGAUCAGUAUGUUGGUCGUGCCUCGGUACGUACUAGCAUAUUGGUUUCUCCUUUCUGAAGAACCAUGAUGUCAUUUAUUUGGUGUCGUGGGGAAUCAGGACUGUUACUUUGAAAAAUUAGGGUGUUUAAAGCAGGCUCACGCUUGAAUACAUUAGCAUGGAAUAAUGAAAUAGGACGUUUGAUUCUAUUUUGUUGGUUUCUAGGAUCGACGUAAUGAUUAAUAGGGAUAGUUGGGGGCAUUAGUAUUCAAUUGUCAGAGGUGAAAUUCUUGGAUUUAUUGAAGACUAACUACUGCGAAAGCAUUUGCCAAGGAUGUUUUCAUUAAUCAAGAACGAAAGUUAGGGGAUCGAAGACGAUCAGAUACCGUCGUAGUCUUAACCAUAAACUAUGCCGACUAGGGAUCGGAUG
RNAcentral lists this small RNA (483 nucleotides) under uncultured Glomus. RNAcentral's name for it is "SSU rRNA". It matches the Rfam family "Eukaryotic small subunit ribosomal RNA", at positions 569 to 1059 of the family's 1831-position model. Lineage: Eukaryota; Fungi; Glomeromycota; Glomeromycetes; Glomerales; Glomeraceae. The record is from RNAcentral.